CGGAACGCAGCGCUCCGGGCGCCCAGCCGGCCAGAGGACACGACGGGAAACACGGGCAGAAAAGGGCAGCCCGGCAUUGCUCACCCCCUUGGCUUAUUCGCCUGACGCUGGCAGAACUGCUGUAUCAGAAAGGGAAAGCCUCGCUAAAGCCAGGUAAUCCAGUUUGCAAUCAGCCUCAGGGACAGGACUAGUCCCAGUGACUUAAGGGAGGCCAGGACUUAUCCCAGCAAGGCAGAGCUGCACCUUUCUCAGGGUAUUGGCCGAGGCUGUGAUGUCUGAACCACCGCUGUGGCUGUGACUGCUGCCCAGGUGGGCUGCAGGUAACACCGGUAAGGAAAGAGAGCCUGUGGUCCAGAGAACAAAGAGCCAUCCCACAACCUCCUUUUCCUCAGGUUACACGCUCCCUACAAUAAAGCAAGGAAUUACUUCCAUCAAAUGGAUGAAACACCACAGCAAACAAGAACACAAAAUUGUGGAAACAUGACACAUGCUGUGCAAAAUCCCAGAGGAUUACAUCAAAGGCCAGGUGAAGACACUUGACAAGGGUAAUUUGAGAGUUACACAUCUGAACAAUGGAAACCAGUGCCUGCACUGCAAGAGCACAGGAGUUUCCAUGCCGCAAGUCAUUCCGGUUUUGGAUGUAUUUCUGUCAACACAGCUUGGAAGGGAAAGUAACUGCUGUUACAUCCUAAAUAAAACAAGAGUAGCAACAUUUGUUGCUAGUGUCCUCUAAAGUAUUUGUUUGAUUUCGAAAGGGGACUAAAUAUGCAUCUGAAGAAAAAGUCUAUUGCUUUAAUCCUGGAAACAAACGUGGCAAAGUGCUUGAGUUUCAGAUCUUUCUUUGACCUGAGGACAUUACGAGUACCAACAUGGAAAAUGUUACCUGUAUUUGCCGAUUAAGAAACAGAAAAGUAAGAAAACUAUAAGCCAUGAAGACAAAAACUGAAAUGAAUACAAAUGGGGAGAAAGGUGAAAUUAAAAAAACAAACAAAAAAAAA
Long non-coding RNA from Passer domesticus (house sparrow), 998 nucleotides. RefSeq lists it as uncharacterized. The record is from RefSeq and is a predicted model, not a curated record. NCBI's taxonomy places the organism in Eukaryota, Metazoa, Chordata, Aves, Passeriformes, Passeridae. The transcript has 2 exons.